Molecule: ribosomal RNA, 468 nt
Filed under: uncultured bacterium
Lineage: Bacteria
Description: partial 16S ribosomal RNA
Rfam family: Bacterial small subunit ribosomal RNA
Source: RNAcentral
GACGAACGCUGGCGGCGUGCUUAACACAUGCAAGUCGAACGGAAAGGCCCUGCUUUUGUGGGGUGCUCGAGUGGCGAACGGGUGAGUAACACGUGAGUAACCUGCCCUUGACUUUGGGAUAACUUCAGGAAACUGGGGCUCAUACCGGAUAGGAGCUCCUGCUGCAUGGUGGGGGUUGGAAAGAUUCGGCGGUUGGGGAUGGACUCGCGGCUUAUCAGCUUGUUGGUGGGGUAGUGGCUUACCAAGGCUUUGACGGGUAGCCGGCCUGAGAGGGUGACCGGCCACAUUAGGACUGAGAUACGGCCCAGACGCCUACGGGAGGCAGCAGUGGGGAAUAUUGCACAAUGGGCGGAAGCCUGAGGCAGCAACGCCGCGUGCGGAAUGACGGCCUUCGGGUUAUAAACCGCUUUCGCCUGUGACGAAGCGUGAGUGACGGUAAUGAGUAAAGAAGCACCGGCUAACUACGUG